This 274-nucleotide unclassified non-coding RNA is filed under the name Oncaea mediterranea. Its description in RNAcentral is "partial ITS2". The stretch from base 1 to 101 matches the Rfam family "5.8S ribosomal RNA", at positions 52 to 154 of the family's 154-position model. The record is from RNAcentral. Lineage: Eukaryota; Metazoa; Arthropoda; Copepoda; Poecilostomatoida; Oncaeidae.
ACUGCGCGUCGGAUGUGAACUGCAGGAUAUAUGAGCAUCGACACUUUGAACGCAUAUUGCGGAACGGCGCUUGUCGUCUUUCCAUGUCUGGCUCAGGGUCGGUUAUACAUCCAUCCCAAAUAGUUGAGCUCUCUUCAAUAUUUAUAUUGCUGAUAGCCCUCUAUUUUGGCAUUGAGCUCUCGCUGCAGCCUUGACUACAGCGUGGCUUUAAGAUUUGUUGCCUUACAAUCAGUGGCUCGUGCUGACUCUUUGGAUUUAUUCUCGAGUUAGGAAU